This 675-nucleotide long non-coding RNA is filed under the name Homo sapiens (human). RNAcentral's name for it is "HSALNT0141942". The record is from RNAcentral. Lineage: Eukaryota; Metazoa; Chordata; Mammalia; Primates; Hominidae.
UAGAGAAUAGGCCUCACUAUGUUGCCCAGGCUAGUCUUGAAUUCCUGGGCUCAAGCAAACCACCUGCCUUAGCCUCCCAAAGUGCUGUGAUUACACAUGUGAGCCACUGUGCCCAGCCUAGAGGUAAGUGUCUUCUAAUGGAAACAAAUAAAUAGCUAGUGCCCUUAUAAUUAUGCUGAAGUAAAAUAAGCCUGAGAGAGAAAAUAACCUAUCUGGAAUCAAAUUAUUACGUGCAGUGUGGACAGUGUGGAUAUAGAAUUUGAUUAAACAUUUAAAUGAGCAUUUAAGAAAAUAACUAAAAUGUAAUUUUGAAGGGAAUUUUAAACAACCUCAUAUUUCACUGGAAUUGUUAAUCCUCCUGUCUUCACAUUUUAAAGGCUGAAUUAUUAAACAUUAUAAUAAUAUCUUAGUCACCUUAAGUGUCAAAUAAAUUACUUAGAGAAGUGAUCUGAGACUUUCAGUGAAUCAUUAAAGACUCCUUUUUUUGUGACUUAGUCCCUUCUCUCUGGAACAAAAUAACAUAUAUUUUGAUACAACACAUUGUUAAAAUCAGAAAAAAAUUGUUUUAAGUUUCUUCAACUUUUGAAUAAAUUUUAUUUGAAGUAGUUUUUGAGUACAAAAACAUUAAGAAGAUAGUAGAGAGUUCCCAUAUACUACUCUACAAAGUUCUUUCCA